RNAcentral lists this ribosomal RNA (451 nucleotides) under Streptococcus mitis. RNAcentral describes it as "bacterial SSU rRNA". It matches the Rfam family "Bacterial small subunit ribosomal RNA", at positions 28 to 465 of the family's 1533-position model. Lineage: Bacteria; Bacillati; Bacillota; Bacilli; Lactobacillales; Streptococcaceae. The record is from RNAcentral.
GACGAACGCUGGCGGCGUGCCUAAUACAUGCAAGUAGAACGCUGAAGGAGGAGCUUGCUUCUCCGGAUGAGUUGCGAACGGGUGAGUAACGCGUAGGUAACCUGCCUGGUAGCGGGGGAUAACUAUUGGAAACGAUAGCUAAUACCGCAUAAGAGUAGAUGUUGCAUGACAUUUACUUAAAAGGUGCAAUUGCAUCACUACCAGAUGGACCUGCGUUGUAUUAGCUAGUUGGUGAGGUAACGGCUCACCAAGGCGACGAUACAUAGCCGACCUGAGAGGGUGAUCGGCCACACUGGGACUGAGACACGGCCCAGACUCCUACGGGAGGCAGCAGUAGGGAAUCUUCGGCAAUGGACGGAAGUCUGACCGAGCAACGCCGCGUGAGUGAAGAAGGUUUUCGGAUCGUAAAGCUCUGUUGUAAGAGAAGAACGAGUGUGAGAGUGGAAAGUUC